Cynara cardunculus var. scolymus (artichoke) is the source of this 370-nucleotide long non-coding RNA. RefSeq lists it as uncharacterized. Lineage: Eukaryota; Viridiplantae; Streptophyta; Magnoliopsida; Asterales; Asteraceae. The record is from RefSeq and is a predicted model, not a curated record. The transcript is spliced from 3 exons.
UCCAGUGAUUUGUUUCAAGUCUAUUGCCGGCGAUGACGGAUCGACGGUGGAUUCGAGCAGAGCUCUGAUGGAUUUGUUACAGGAACACCUCCAUAGGUUAUACGAGAGGAUGUUUGGUUUCAAUAUGCAGUUGCGUUUGGCAGAAUCUUCGAUGUUGAAUAGGAUUUCUAUUUGUGUUGCAGAUCAAGGGCCUCAAGUGUACCAUGCUAGUAUCUGGUAAUGUGUUCAAUCAACAAAAAAGCAUCUUGAUACUGAUGGACAUACUUCACAACAUCAGUGAUCAGGUUCAUAUGAUGUUAAAGCUACAAUAUAUGAAGUGAAUAUGAUGGGGGAUACAUGAAUUUGAUUUAUAUGUUUGAUUGGAACCAGA